Molecule: transfer RNA, 75 nt
Filed under: Planctomycetota bacterium
Lineage: Bacteria; Pseudomonadati; Planctomycetota
Description: Planctomycetes bacterium tRNA-Gly
Rfam family: tRNA
About the family: Transfer RNA (tRNA) molecules are approximately 80 nucleotides in length.
Source: RNAcentral
GCGGCUGUAGCUCAGUGGUAGAGCGCGACCUUGCCAAGGUCGAUGUCGGGAGUUCGAAUCUCCUCAGCCGCUCCA